ACCAUGCAGUCGAACGGCAGCACGGGGGCAACCCUGGUGGCGAGUGGCGAACGGGUGAGUAAUACAUCGGAACGUGUCCUGUAGUGGGGGAUAGCCCGGCGAAAGCCGGAUUAAUACCGCAUACGCUCUACGGAGGAAAGGGGGGGAUCUCAGGACCUCCCGCUACAGGGGCGGCCGAUGGCAGAUUAGCUAGUUGGUGGGGUAAAGGCCUACCAAGGCGACGAUCUGUAGCUGGUCUGAGAGGACGACCAGCCACACUGGGACUGAGACACGGCCCAGACUCCUACGGGAGGCAGCAGUGGGGAAUUUUGGACAAUGGGCGAAAGCCUGAUCCAGCAAUGCCGCGUGUGUGAAGAAGGCCUUCGGGUUGUAAAGCACUUUUGUCCGGAAAGAAAACCUCCGCCCUAAUAUGGUGGGGGGAUGACGGUACCGGAAGAAUAAGCACCGGCUAACUACGUGCCAGCAGCCGCGGUAAUACGUAGGGUGCAAGCGUUAAUCGGAAUUACUGGGCGUAAAGCGUGCGCAGGCGGUCCGCUAAGACAGAUGUGAAAUCCCCGGGCUUAACCUGGGAACUGCAUUUGUGACUGGCGGGCUAGAGUAUGGCAGAGGGGGGUAGAAUUCCACGUGUAGCAGUGAAAUGCGUAGAGAUGUGGAGGAAUACCGAUGGCGAAGGCAGCCCCCUGGGCCAAUACUGACGCUCAUGCACGAAAGCGUGGGGAGCAAACAGGAUUAGAUACCCUGGUAGUCCACGCCCUAAACGAUGUCAACUAGUUGUUGGGGAUUCAUUUCCUUAGUAACGUAGCUAACGCGUGAAGUUGACCGCCUGGGGAGUACGGUCGCAAGAUUAAACC
Molecule: ribosomal RNA, 851 nt
Filed under: Paraburkholderia sediminicola
Lineage: Bacteria; Pseudomonadati; Pseudomonadota; Betaproteobacteria; Burkholderiales; Burkholderiaceae
Description: bacterial SSU rRNA
Rfam family: Bacterial small subunit ribosomal RNA
Source: RNAcentral